This 465-nucleotide ribosomal RNA is filed under the name uncultured bacterium. RNAcentral describes it as "partial 16S ribosomal RNA". It matches the Rfam family "Bacterial small subunit ribosomal RNA", at positions 28 to 506 of the family's 1533-position model. The record is from RNAcentral.
GAUGAACGCUGGCGGCGUGCUUAACACAUGCAAGUCGAACGAUGAAGCCCAGCUUGCUGUGUGGUUUAGUGGCGAACGGGUGAGUAACUCGUGAGUAACCUGCCUUUAACUCUGGGAUAAGCCUGGGAAACUGGCUCUAAUACCGGAUAGGAACGUCCACCGCAUGGUGUGUGUUGGAAGGAUUUAUCGGUUUUCGAUGGACUCGCGGCCUAUCAGCUUGUUGGUGAGGUAAUGGCUCACCAAGGCGACGGCGGGUAGCCGGCCUGAGAGGGUGACCGGCCACACUGGGAGUGAGAGACGGCCGAGACUGCUACGGGCGGCAGGAGUGGGUAAUAGUGCACAAUGGGCGCAAGCCUGAUGCAUCGACGCCGCGUGAGGGAUGGCGGCCUUCGGGUUGUAAGCCUCUUUCAGUAGGGAAGAAGCGAAAGUGACGGUACCUGCAGAAGAAGCACCGGCUAACUACGU